GACGAACGCUGGCGGCGUGCUUAACACAUGCCAGUCGAACGGAAAGGCCCUGCUUUUGUGGGGCGCUCGAGUGGCGAACGGGUGAGUAACACGUGAGUAACCUGCCCUUGACUUUGGGAUAACUUCAGGAAACUGGGGCUAAUACCGGAAAGGAGCUCCUGCUGCAUGGUGGGGGUUGGAAAGUUUCGGCGGUUGGGGAUGGACCCGCGGCUUAUCAACUUGUUGGGGUGGUAGUGGCUUACCACGGAUUUGACGGGCAGCCGGCCUGGGAGGGGGACCGGCCAAAUUGGGACUAAGAGACGGCCCAGACGCCUACGGGAGGCAGCGGUGGGGAAUAUUGCACAAUGGGCGGAAGCCUGAUGCAGCGACGCCGCGUGCGGGAUAAGGGCCUUCGGGUUGUGAACCGCUUUCGCCGGUGACGAAGCGUGAGUGACGGUAAUGGGUAAAGAAGCACCGGCUAACUACGUG
Molecule: ribosomal RNA, 468 nt
Filed under: uncultured bacterium
Lineage: Bacteria
Description: partial 16S ribosomal RNA
Rfam family: Bacterial small subunit ribosomal RNA
Source: RNAcentral